Tribolium castaneum (red flour beetle) is the source of this 1524-nucleotide RNA transcript. RefSeq lists it as uncharacterized. The record is from RefSeq and is a predicted model, not a curated record. NCBI's taxonomy places the organism in Eukaryota, Metazoa, Arthropoda, Insecta, Coleoptera, Tenebrionidae. The transcript has 7 exons.
GCGUUUUCCGUGUCGGAACAAUUCGCCACCAAAUUGUAGAUUUCAUGGUGAUAGGGUCAAAAUUAUUGUGUCAAUAUCAUGCAAUUGUAAAGAGUUUGAAAAAAGUUAAAUGUGAUUAGUUUUCCAAUAUGAUGGUAAGAUCGUCAUGGCAACUAAAUAUCAACAAUGGUAGGCACCCAGUUCUUGCCGAGGCGAGGAACGUGUCGGAUGGAGAAAUGGUUUAAUGGUAGUAAAUUUUGGUUAUUCGGAAACCAACUGCAGCUACUCCCCAAAAGUUGUUGCAGGACACGCACCUCGUCCAAAGUCAUGGAACGCUACGAGAAAUUGGCAAAAUUGGGUGAAGGGAGCUACGGCAUUGUGUACAAAUGUCGCAACCGCGACACGGGGGAAAUAGUGGCGAUCAAAAAAUUCGCGGAAAGCGAGGACGACCCCCUGAUCCGCAAAAUUGCUCUUCGAGAAAUAAGACUACUCAAAAAUUUGAAGCAUCCAAACCUGGUAAACCUUCUGGAAGUGUUUCGGCGGAAGCGCCGCCUGCACCUUGUGUUCGAAUUUUGCGAACGCACGGUUUUAAACGAGCUGGAGCGCUACCCCAGGGGGUGCCCCCAUCUGCUCACCCAGCAGAUCAUCUGGCAGACGCUCCAGGCGGUGGCUUACUGCCACCACCACGGGUGCAUCCACCGGGACAUCAAGCCGGAGAAUAUCCUCCUGACGGGCUCCGGAGUCGUGAAACUGUGCGAUUUUGGCUUCGCCCGGAUGCUGAGUCCGGGCGAGAACUACACGGACUACGUGGCGACGCGCUGGUACCGGGCCCCGGAGCUGCUGGUCGGGGACACCCAGUACGGGACUCCGGUGGACGUCUGGGCCAUAGGUUGCGUUCUGGCCGAAUUGGUGAAAGGCGAGGCGCUCUGGCCGGGGAAAUCCGAUGUGGAUCAACUGUACCUUAUCAGAUCGACGGUUGGUGACCUUUUGCAGAGGCACAUGCAAGCGUUCAAGAAUAACGAUUUUUUCCAAGGGGUUAUUCUGCCGGUGCCGCAGCAAAUGGUGCCGCUGGAGGUCAAGCUGCCCAUGUGCAACCAGACCACGAUAGAUUUUUUAAAAAUGAUUUCGAUUCGGACCGUUUUAGAAAAAAAUGUCUGGAUAAAGACCCUCUGAAACGGUGGACCUGUGAUAUGCUUCUCACGCACGACUAUUUCGAAAAUUUUAAUUUCAAAGUGGAUGAAACCGACUCGCAAAAUUUCGAGAAAUUGUCGAGGGACAGGUCACGAAAUUCACUCAAUGGUACCUCCUUACCUCAACUAACGACAAAUAAACCGAUAAGUCCGGCGAAACAAAAUAAUAAUCAACGAUCCAAAAUCGACCAUUUACCGACUAUAUGACAAAGACUUUCGUUUUUUUCGAAGUAAAUCAUAGCAAAUCUCUAUUUUGUGUAUUUGAAAAUUAAAGUGUUAUAUUUUAGAGGUAGAAUUAAGCGUAAUCGUUGCAUUGUACUUAUGUUGAGAGGAAUAAAAAAUGAGUCCAAAUUUA